This 253-nucleotide ribosomal RNA is filed under the name uncultured bacterium. RNAcentral describes it as "partial 16S ribosomal RNA". It matches the Rfam family "Bacterial small subunit ribosomal RNA", at positions 524 to 776 of the family's 1533-position model. The record is from RNAcentral.
UACGUAGGGUGCGAGCGUUAAUCGGAAUUACUGGGCGUAAAGCGUGCGCAGGCGGUUCGUUAAGUCAGCUGUGAAAGCCCCGGGCUCAACCUGGGAAUUGCGGUUGAAACUGGCGAACUAGAAUCUGGCAGAGGGGGGUGGAAUUCCCAGUGUAGAGGUGAAAUUCGUAGAUAUUGGGAAGAACACCGGUGGCGAAGGCGGCCAUCUGGACCGCAACUGACGCUGAGGCGCGAAAGCGUGGGGAGCAAACAGG